This 4010-nucleotide long non-coding RNA is filed under the name Pelobates cultripes (western spadefoot toad). The record is from RNAcentral. Lineage: Eukaryota; Metazoa; Chordata; Amphibia; Anura; Pelobatidae.
UUUAAAGCGCUCAGCCACACACGUGGCUCUCUUUGUCUCGGGAAGUGGAAGGCAAUGGGUCAGUGUUGGAAGGUGUGCACGGAGCCCGACAUGCUGAUGGCUGGCGUGCCCGCUGACUGGCCUCACAAUGCAGUGACAGGCUGAGGGGGACAGCCAGUAAUGGGUUAAACCAAGCACACAUUUGGACAUAGCCUGGCUCCCAACGUCUGUGCCAUGAGCUGCUGGGUGGCUUCCAGCCCCUGGUCACGCAGGUAUGUAUCCAGUGUCUUAAGGGUUCCAUUUAGAAUGUUCUAAUUUAGAAGCUAUUAGAAAUUAAAUGUUAGAAUAACUUUACAACAAUCUGUGGUUGCAAUCACUUUUGGGGGGUUUCUUACCUCUCCGUUAUCUGUAUCACUAGUUUGAAUCCCUUAACUGCCAGUUCAGCAUCCUGUAGUAUACUGUACUGCUAAAAUGAUUUAAGUAAUGUAACGUGUAACUUUCUUAUUUUUAUUUUUUGGGGGGUGGGGUGUAAUGUGUAGAUACCAUUUUUCUCAUUAAAGUAGGAAGAGCUUUGUGGAAACAAUGUAGUUACAUGUUUAAAUUAUUUAACUAGUUUUAGAUAUCAUUCAACCCUUAUACGAUGCCUUGGCUAUGUAGGCGACUUUUAUUUAGUUUUCAGUUAUAUAGUGCCUUUAUGGUGUAGGUCCUUCAGUUUGAAGUGUUAAUCAAAGGAAAAUGCCCAUGUUACCGGUACUUAAGGUAAACUUACCUGCUUACUGUAACUGCAUAACAUUAAGUGUUAUAAGCUGAAGAGCCCAAACCCCUAUCUAGAAAUGCUUGAGAUUCUGCUUUUCGUUUGAAGUAACAUGUGCACAAGUGCUAAUCACAUGCACAAUGUUGGGUACCUGUCUAAUUACUAGUGUUGUCCAUUUGCUUGACCAAAAACUGCCACCCAUCAGAACAGCUCUUGCUAAAGGGCAUGGCUUGCAUUAUUUGAAGCCUGAUUGUUGCAGGCUAACAUGGGUAAACAAACUUACAGCAGGAUUGCCAAGAGUCUUUCUAAAGUCUUUAAUCUUUCAACCAACUAGCAACUGACCCUCUUUAACUUUUCUGUAAUUGUGCCAAAAGUUCAGCCUCUUGAAUACCUGUAACAAGUGCUUUUUAAACUUUUUUUAGGUUCUUUUUGGAAUAUACAAACUUGCUGUGGACACGCUCAAUCCGAUAUUGAGUCACAAACUGCGACAUGUAAGUUUGUUUUUUGCAUUCUAUAUAUGGUCUUUAAACAUAGCAUGAUAUGGUGCACAUCCUGAACCAAUGAUGCUAGCACUGGGCUCUGAAUUAGAAUGAGCGAUAUCUGUGCCCCUCUGUACUGACAUGCAGAGGGCCUGAAGGACAGGAAAUCUAGCACUUAAAUGUCGAUUACUAAUUUAACAAGGAAUUGUCUCAUGGACUUUGUCUUUACAUGAGCAGCUUUUUGAAGACCAUCUUCAUAAUUGUGAUUUUUUGUCUCAACAGGCCUUGUCAACAUCAAAGGAGACCUUGACGUCAAUUUGAAAGUGGACAGGUACUAUGACUGCAGAUUAUAAAAAUUAACAUUGCGUUGUCCCUAUGAUGUCAGCACUGGGCUCUGAAACUGCUGAGCGAUAACUGUGCCCCACUGUCUUGACAUGCAGUGGGACUGAGGGACCAUAAUCUAGUGUGGCAAGCAGUCUUUAAUUUAAAGUGAACUGUUCAUAUACUAAGCCAGCUUUUAACCCCUUAAGGACAACUUCUGGAAUAAAAAGGAAUCAUGGUAUAUCUCACUAAUUUAAGCAUCAGGGUUGUAUUAAAGGAACUUCAUGGAGUGACAGCAUAAAAUAUCACUAGUCCUUACAGAAACACUAUAGAUAAGAGGGCUUGAAGGGUGAGACUUAUUCUUCCAAUGCUUUCCCUUGGGAACAGGGACCAUGUGGAAAUCUGAAAUCUUUACAUACAUCAGACGAACCUCUAGAGGCUUUUAAUUAGGGGUAGAUAACCUUUGGUUACCAGAUGUGAACUACAUAGCCCCUGAUACUUUGCUAGCAUUAUGGGAGAUGUAGUAAACAUCUGGAGUUCCCGGAGAUGCCUACCCCUGCUUUAAGGGGGUUAACAUUGUGACUGCUUGUGAAACGGCUGUAUACAUGUUAUGUGGAUAUUUUGCUCAAGCUUUGUGCUGUCAACCUUCUUAUUCUGACAAAUAUUUUUAUUUCAGGAAAUACUGGACUGAUGGACUCUGGAAUAAAGCAACUUUAUUUUGUUACAAACAUGGUUUAAAGCUUAGUAACUGUAAGGUUGUUUGAAACCUUCCUUGCCUUGAUAAAGAGAUUACUCUUAAUACUCAACUAAGAUUCUACUUUAGAUGUGAAGUAACUAGAAUUCAGCAUUGAACUAAUGCAGCACAUUUGGCACUCUAACCACUAAUGUGGUGAUGCUUGGCGUGCAACAGAUUUUAAAAUGCCUUACAUUUCAAAACUUCCUGUUUAAUAAAUUGUGUUAAACCAGGCAACUUGUCUAUUGUAUGUAUUUCAAAGUUUAGGGGGUCAAGAUGUUACAGAAUAACUGUGGACGUGUGUUUACAACAUCAUAUCUAGUCACGUGGAUUUAAAAAGUGAGACUGAACGUGCAAUUACUCAAAAUCUUGGUGUGCAAAAAGCAGGUGAAUCUAUUCAGCAUGUUUUUGCUGCUCAUCUGUUAAAAUCUAAAAUCACAUUGCAGAUCUAUAAUUUACAAAUGUGACUGGCAUUGUAACUUAAUGAUGGUGACACUGGUUCUUUGAGUGCCCUUUUAAGUCAGUCAAAAAUUGGUGCCAUCUCAGGACUAUAAUCCACUAAAUUAAACUUUUAACUUCAAAUGGUGACAAUUAUUUUUGCGUUUGAUUUCUUGGACACUAGAUUGUACUAAAUGAGGUGUGUUCUGACAAUCACCGAAUUUACCUUUUCCGACUAAAUUGCAAAUCUGUUCCAAUUAAUUAUCAAAAUCUAGACUGUAGCGAUCAGUGGGAACUUGUGUACUUGGCUAGUGGCUGAAAGUGCAUAGACUUUAAACCUUAUUACUCAAAAUUACACUUUUAGAAUGAGCUUUUUACACUGCAUACAUAUCUGAAAUCCCUAAUUUUGCAUAUGAAAAAAACUUCAUGCUGGAUUAGCUCAACACAUGUCAAUACAGGCCUGUACUAGUUUUUAACAAUUUGUGACAGGCCCUAUUAAAUCACAUAGAAACGGUGUUUUUACUAGUGUCUUGGUGCGGCUGAAUCUACUUCCAUGACUAUCACCAGUCUUGGUGAUCUCGGCCAAUCCAAUGCUUUCCUAUUGGAAGACUAUUGCACAUGUGCAGCAAAACUGCACAACUCUGCAUCUUCUCAGACGCAUUGAUUCAAUGCAUCCAUAUGGGGGCAUUCAGUGCCUUGAUGCAGAGUGUGGAGAGGUGAAAUACCAGUGCUGCACUAAACUAGGAAAUGCCUCUAGUGGCAAUCUGACUGCUCUCUUCCUAGGCAGCAAUGUAAACCCUGCCUUUCCUGUGCUUGUCCUGCAGGGACAGACUACACACUCCAGAACCACUACACUAAGCUGUAGUGGUUCUGGGAACUAGUGACCCUUCAGUAAAUUUGUUGAAAAGUUCAAUUAUAUUCUGUAGUAAAUAAAGUAAGCUUUAACCCCUUAAGGACAGAGCCAAAUGUACACAUUGUGAACAAAACCUGGCAAUUGCACUACAUGUCUGUCCAACCGUAAUUCACCUCUUUCAUAGUAAAUGCACCCACCCUUAUAUCAUUCAGGGGAAACCGGGCUUUCAUUUGAUAUCAAAUAUUUAGCCAUGAAACAUAAUUUAAUAUGAAAAAUGAGAGAAUACUUUAUUUUUUUUAGUUCUAAAUGACAUUUUAACGGUCAAUGUCAUAAUACUGUUUGCUUUUACUGCAAUAAAACACACAUUUGUAUUCAGUAAAGUCUCACGUGUAAGACAGUACCCCCUAUGUACAGGUUUUAUGGCGUUUUGGGAAGUUACAGGGUCAAAUAUAG